This is a long non-coding RNA of Triplophysa rosa, 1503 nucleotides long. RefSeq lists it as uncharacterized. Lineage: Eukaryota; Metazoa; Chordata; Actinopteri; Cypriniformes; Nemacheilidae. The transcript is spliced from 6 exons. The record is from RefSeq and is a predicted model, not a curated record.
GUUUUAUUCCGAAAAAAAUGCUGGUUUAGGCGGAGUGCAGUGGACACCCGAAAUGGAUCCGAAUCUCUAUGAAAAACGACUGUGUAAAUUCUAUAAAUUCAUUCUUCGAGAUGAUGUCCUCCAAGCUGAGGCAGAGUUCUCUGGAUCCUGAUGGAUGCCCUGAGUCAUAAUUUUCAUUGGUAGAAUCAAAGUUCAGACCUCACAGAGGAUCCCACCAUGUCUGGAUAUACAAGUAUGCAGUACAUCAAUGCACUUUCUCAAUUGACAAUCUUUGGUAAUAUAUAAGGCUCUCUUUGGUGAUGACAUCUCAUCUCAGACAGAAUUAUUUGAAAAAUGGAAACGUUUUACAGGAACAUCCAAAAUAAUUGCUGACCAUCAAAACCUAUGACAUGUUGCACAUGUUAACAACCUUUUAUCUGGUCAGCAGCAGUCUGAUUAUGGAUGGAACAGUGAUGUGGCAGCUCUCUUGCUCCUUUCAUCUCUUGCCUCAAACUGUAAACGGUGAAACUGCCCAGAUCAUGCUGUGAAGUUUAUGAAGGUGGGGAUGAGGAUUAAUAUGCCCAUUGAGCGAGUUGGAUUGACCCAGACCUUCCUUCUCUACGUUGGGGAAAUGUAGCAUCCGGAAGUUCUACAUCAUCCUGGACCAGAAAGAGUCCCCUGCAUGAUCCAGGCCCCUGCUGCAGCCUUGGACAAACUCUUUAAGGCACUCUUUGUCUUUGCUGUGUCUUAUGGUGAGGCCUUGUUCAGUUUUUACACAUUUAUUCUAAUAACCGUGCAUGGAAUUGAAGUCCAAGGGGUUAUGAAAACUAAAGUGAGAAUUCAAAAUUGAGGUUCAACCUUAUUUCAGAACAUUUAGUGCAAUGGAAGAACUUGUCAUCCUCAUGAUCAUGCAAUGACCCUGUUCUUAAUUCUUCUUGGCCUAAAUGCUAUUUAGGCCUUGUCUAAUACUUACUGAACAUUGUAUUCUUUACUGUAUUAACAGGGUAUAGAUUAUUGUUUGAGUUUUUAUUUUAAAAGAUUUUAGUUUGGCCCCGUUAAUGAAAUCUCAGUCUGGAAGGUAGUUUUAAACUAAAACUACACUAAAACUUUGUGUGUGUCAUCUUUUUCUACUAUAUCUUGGGUUGAUAACUAUGGAACUGAAUAAUGUUUGCUUUGCUGUUGAAAAUGAAAUGUCUGAUUUCUGUAAGAUGAAUAAGCAAGCAUGUUUAUUCAGUAUCGUAACUGCAGUGUAUUUAAGUAUGUAUUGAGGUGGUUACUAUUUUUACCAUUUUCUUUUUUGAGCGUAUGAUAAUAGACCUGAUGGACAAUGUUUAUAUUAUUGUGAUAGGCGAUUGAGAUAUUGUAGUUUUUUUUAAUAUGCAGUAAAUUAUGUAUUUGAUUGUGAAUGUUAAAUCUGGUGUACUUCAAUAAAAAGAGGUUUUGUAGUACUUGCUAACAUUUGUCCUUUUUGCAAUCACUUGAGUAUUAACAGAAAUACUAUUCAAAGCAACGAAAGUACUGCCA